GAUGAACGCUAGCUACAGGCUUAACACAUGCAAGUCGAGGGGCAGCAUGACUGAAGCUUGCUUCAGUUGAUGGCGACCGGCGUACGGGUGCGUAACGCGUAUCCAACCUGCCCUCUACUCCGGAACAGCCCGUCGAAAGGCGGAUUAAUGCCGGAUGGUGUCCACUUGGUGCAUGCCAUGGUGGACUAAAGGUAACGGUAGAGGAUGGGGAUGCGACUGAUUAGGUAGACGGCGGGGUAACGGCCCACCGUGCCGACGAUCAGUAGGGGUUCUGAGAGGAAGGUCCCCCACACUGGAACUGAGACACGGUCCAGACUCCUACGGGAGCAGCAGUGAGGAAUAUUGGUCAAUGGACGGAAGUCUGAACCAGCCAAGUAGCGUGCAGGAUGACGGCCCUAUGGGUUGUAAACUGCUUUUAUAAGGGAAUAAAGUGAGCUACGUGUAGCUUUUUGCAUGUACCUUAUGAAUAAGGACCGGCUAAUUCCGUGCCAGCAGCCGACGG
RNAcentral lists this ribosomal RNA (502 nucleotides) under uncultured bacterium. Its description in RNAcentral is "bacterial SSU rRNA". It matches the Rfam family "Bacterial small subunit ribosomal RNA", at positions 28 to 520 of the family's 1533-position model. The record is from RNAcentral.